This 460-nucleotide ribosomal RNA is filed under the name uncultured bacterium. Its description in RNAcentral is "partial 16S ribosomal RNA". It matches the Rfam family "Bacterial small subunit ribosomal RNA", at positions 338 to 795 of the family's 1533-position model. The record is from RNAcentral.
CCUACGGGAGGCAGCAGUGAGGAAUAUUGGUCACUGGACGAGAGUCUGAACCAGCCAAGUAGCGUGAAGGAUGACUGCACUAUGGAUGGUAAACUUCUUUUAUAUGGGAAUAAAACGCUCUACGUGAGGGAUGUGGUAUGUCUCAUAUGAAGAAGGAUCGGCUAACUCCGUGCCAGCAGCCGCGGUAAUACGGAGGAACCGAGCGUUAUCCGGAUUUAUGGGGUUGAAAGGGAGCGUAGGCGGAAUGUUAAGUCCGUUGUGAAAGUUUGCGGCUCAACCGUAAAAGUGCAGUUGAAACUGGCAGACUUGAGUUGGCGAGAAGUACGCGGAAUGCGCGGUGUAGCGGUGAAAUGCAUAGAUAUCGCGCAGAACUCCGAUUGCGAAGGCAGCGUACCGGCGCCAGACUGACGCUGAGGCACGAAAGCGUGGGGAUCGAACAGGAUUAGAUACCCUUGUAGUC